GCGAGGAUGGCGGAAAUGGCAGACGCGUCAGACUAAGGAUCUGAUGGUUAAAACCAUGGGGGUUCAAUUCCCCCUCCUCGCACCA
Molecule: transfer RNA, 85 nt
Filed under: Deltaproteobacteria bacterium
Lineage: Bacteria; Pseudomonadati; Myxococcota; Myxococcia
Description: tRNA-Leu
Rfam family: tRNA
About the family: Transfer RNA (tRNA) molecules are approximately 80 nucleotides in length.
Source: RNAcentral